RNAcentral lists this ribosomal RNA (393 nucleotides) under uncultured bacterium. RNAcentral describes it as "bacterial SSU rRNA". It matches the Rfam family "Bacterial small subunit ribosomal RNA", at positions 362 to 769 of the family's 1533-position model. The record is from RNAcentral.
UAUUGGUCAAUGGGCGAGAGCCUGAACCAGCAACGCCGCGUGAAGGAAGAAGGCCCUCGGGUUGUAAACUUCUUUUGUCAGGGACGAAGCAAGUGACGGUACCUGACGAAUAAGCCACGGCUAACUACGUGCCAGCAGCCGCGGUAAUACGUAGGGGGCAAGCGUUAUCCGGAUUUACUGGGUGUAAAGGGAGCGUAGACGGCUGUGCAAGUCUGGAGUGAAAGCCCGGGGCUCAACCCCGGGACUGCUUUGGAAACUGUACGGCUGGAGUGCUGGAGAGGCAAGCGGAAUUCCUAGUGUAGCGGUGAAAUGCGUAGAUAUUAGGAGGAACACCAGUGGCGAAGGCGGCUUGCUGGACAGUAACUGACGUUGAGGCUCGAAAGCGUGGGGAGC